RNAcentral lists this ribosomal RNA (497 nucleotides) under uncultured bacterium. Its description in RNAcentral is "partial 16S ribosomal RNA". It matches the Rfam family "Bacterial small subunit ribosomal RNA", at positions 28 to 507 of the family's 1533-position model. The record is from RNAcentral.
GAUGAACGCUGGCGGCGUGCCUAAUACAUGCAAGUCGAGCGAACAGACGAGGACCUUGCUCCUCUGACGUUAGCGGCGGACGGGUGAGUAACACGUGGAUAACCUACCUAUAAGACUGGGAUAACUUCGGGAAACCGGAGCUAAUACCGGAUAAUAUAUUGAACCGCAUGGUUCAAUAGUGAAAGACGGUUUUGCUGUCACUUAUAGAUGGAUCCGCGCGGCAUUAGCUAGUUGGUAAGGUAACGGCUUACCAAGGCAACGAUGCGUAGCCGACCUGAGAGGGUGAUCGGCGACACUGGAGCUGAGACACCGUCCAGACUCCUACGGGAGGCAGCAGUAGGGAAUCGUCCGCAAUGGGCGAAAGCCUGACGGAGCAACGCCGCGUGAGUGAUGAAGGUCUUCGGAUCGUAAAACUCUGUUAUUAGGGAAGAACAAAUGUGUAAGUAACUAUGCACGUCUUGACGGUACCUAAUCAGAAAGCCACGGCUAACUACGUG